UAAGCAUAUCAAUAAGCGGAGGAAAAGAAAAUAACAAUGAUUCCCCUAGUAACGGCGAGUGAACAGGGAAAAGCUCAAAGUUGGAACCUCCUGGCCCUAGGCCUGGCGGAUUGUAAACUAAAGCUUUCGAGUAGCUCGGCUAGCCCAGUAAAUAAGUUCUCUGGAAAGGGACGACAAAGAGGGUGAAAUCCCCGUUUUUGGCUGGAGCAUAGUCCUGCGUUUGCUUGGAAGUGAAGAGUCAGGUUGUUUGGUAUUGCAGCCUAAAGUGGGAGGUAAAUCUCUCCUAAAGCUAAAUAUUGACGAAAGACCGAUAGCGAACAAGUACCGUGAGGGAAAGAUGAGAAGCACCUUGAAAAGGGGGUCAAAAAGUACGUGAAAUUGCUGAAAGGGAACCGUAUGAAAUCAGCCUGUCUCUUUGGUAAUCAGCCUGGACUUUGGUCUGGGUGCACUUGCCAGUGAGUCAGCCUACGACAAUUUGACUUGGGGGAAAAAAUCAGGGGGAAUGUGGCCUCGGCUUCGGUUGAGGUGUUAUAGCCCCUUGAAAAAUACUCUGGGUUGGAUUGAGGACUGCAGCGAGCCUUCUGGGAUGAACUGUGGGUGCUUGGUCGUAGCUAGGAAGAAAUCUCUAUCUCUGGUAGUGUCUUUUUAGCUGUGGUCAACUCGCCUACUUUUUCUUUUCUCGCUUAGU
This 688-nucleotide ribosomal RNA is filed under the name Absidia sp. TUFC 20048. Its description in RNAcentral is "eukaryotic LSU rRNA". It matches the Rfam family "Eukaryotic large subunit ribosomal RNA", at positions 35 to 623 of the family's 3401-position model. The record is from RNAcentral. Lineage: Eukaryota; Fungi; Mucoromycota; Mucoromycetes; Mucorales; Cunninghamellaceae.